GUCCAUGCCGUAAACGAUGAUUACUAGGUGUUGGGGGAUUGACCCCCUCAGUGCCGCAGUUAACACAAUAAGUAAUCCACCUGGGGAGUACGACCGCAAGGUUGAAACUCAAAGGAAUUGACGGGGGCCCGCACAAGCAGUGGAGUAUGUGGUUUAAUUCGAAGCAACGCGAAGAACCUUACCAGGUCUUGACAUCCUAUGCAUAGCACAGAGAUGUGUGAAAUCCUUCGGGACAUCGAGACAGGUGGUGCAUGGUUGUCGU
RNAcentral lists this ribosomal RNA (262 nucleotides) under uncultured bacterium. Its description in RNAcentral is "partial 16S ribosomal RNA". It matches the Rfam family "Bacterial small subunit ribosomal RNA", at positions 793 to 1055 of the family's 1533-position model. The record is from RNAcentral.